UUUCCGUAGGUGAACCUGCGGAAGGAUCAUUACAGAGUUCAUGCCCUCGGGUAGAUCUCCCACCCUUGAAUAUUUAUACCUUAGUUGCUUUGGCAGGCCGUGGAACCACCAUGGGCUCCGGCUUAUGCGUGCCUGCCAGAGGAAACAAACUCUGUUUUUAGUGAUGUCUGAGUACUAUAUAAUAGUUAAAACUUUCAACAACGGAUCUCUUGGUUCUG
RNAcentral lists this unclassified non-coding RNA (218 nucleotides) under plant metagenome. RNAcentral's name for it is "partial contains small subunit ribosomal RNA, internal transcribed spacer 1, and 5.8S ribosomal RNA". The record is from RNAcentral.